UUUUUCAUGAUUAAAAAAGUUAAUCUGUCCGUGACUUAGCACGGGCCAGCAAGAUAGGACAACCUAAAUUAUGAUCAAGGAAUGCGAUGGCGUGGAGUGGAGGCAGCAUCAAGUCCUUGCUUAAUUAGUCCAAAGACGAGGCUGAUUCUGUAGCAAGCAGGCAGCAGAAACACGUGUCUGGUUUGAUAAUCAGACCCAAACAGCUUAAUUUCUCCCAUCUCAAAAAACAGAACGCAAAACCUCGUACGCUAGUUAAUGCAGAAGUAAAACAAAAGAGAAUCUAACGUUGCUGUGACAGUGCAGUCACAUGACAAAUCAGUGACUCGCGGUGAGCAUACACACAAUAUCCUCUCUCUCUCUCUCGUCUUUGGCUUGUUACCAACAACAGGAACAAAGUUGAUCUGAUCUGAUGAGAUUGUAAAGAAAGAAGGAAGGAAGGAAGGAAGGAAGGAAGGAAGCGUAGCCUUUGUUUUGUUUUUAUGGAAACAGCUUUCUCAAGACAGCGAACGCAAUGGUAGUGAUCAUUCAAUCAUGUUGAGUAUUGAUAGAAGUGCAGCACAAGAGAUGAUUGAAAGGAUGGUGCUUACGUGAGCUUAGAAGAGAUGAUUGAAGAAGAGGAAAAUAACAGGUGAGGGCCGAAAUCUAAUUGUGCAUUAUACCUUCAUAAUAAUAACAUCAAAAGACUGGGAAAAAAAAGAGGCUCCACCAAUUAUUAUGACAUCAACGAUCAAACUCUGAACCUCUUUUCCUGGCAACUCCAAAAUGAAACGGUAAAAUUGGGGCAUGAAUA
This is a long non-coding RNA of Populus trichocarpa (black cottonwood), 790 nucleotides long. RefSeq lists it as uncharacterized. The record is from RefSeq and is a predicted model, not a curated record. The transcript has 2 exons. Lineage: Eukaryota; Viridiplantae; Streptophyta; Magnoliopsida; Malpighiales; Salicaceae.